AGACGGAUGACACUUCUUGAUGCUGGGAUCCAGACGAGAUUUGGAGAUGCGCACAAAGACAUCAAGUGUGUUACAAUUUGACCAAGCACGACGUGCCAGUCAGCCGGCUAUGCUAAGCACCAAUAUAAGGAGUUCUGAACUUGUUCCAAUGAACAAAUGCUUUGCUAGCAUUUUUUUGGAGCCGCUCAGUUUUCUGCAGCAGAACGUGUAAAGAACUUGUCUUGGAUUUUGAAAUGGAGACCUCUCUAUAAAAGAGGAAAAAGAUCUUCACCUGCAGAUGCUGAAGGAGACUGUGGAUGCUGGCUGCAAGCACUCUGGCAUCCAACAGGCACUGCGAUCCCGUGGCUCACGCAGCGGCAAACCAACUGUUUCUCCCCUGAUUGAUAACUUCUUGCUUCUUUAAGAGGUUACAAGCCCUUGCAUUAGGGAGCGUGACAGCACAGGCCUAAAGAGCGCAAGAGAAAAACCUAGCUCACCCAGUGGCAUUUAAUUUUUCUCAUUAUAUCCAGUGAAGACCAGGAUUUCUUCCCAGGACAUCUUCCCAGGGGUGAUGCGUCGCCACUUGAAGAGCGACCUCACAAAAGAGAAAAUCAAUUCUGAAGAACUGUUAUCGGCAGCAAGUUUUGGCAUUUUACUCACAGAAACCCCAGGAACUCUACAGACUGUUCUCGGUCUGGACACAUGUGACUCUUGCCUUGCCCAUACAGCAAAUGCAAUGUACCUGAGAAACACUGGGCCAACUGCCCAUGUGCAACACAAUGAAUUAGAGGUGUACUUCUGUCCAGCAACUCCAAAUAGAAAUCUGCUCGCCGUAAGUAUAGACGGAAGGAGAGGAGAAAGCGACUGUUCUUCGUCCUGA
This 859-nucleotide long non-coding RNA is filed under the name Struthio camelus australis. Its description in RNAcentral is "lncRNA (ENSSCUG00000009396.1)". The record is from RNAcentral. Lineage: Eukaryota; Metazoa; Chordata; Aves; Struthioniformes; Struthionidae.